UGGUGGAUAUUGCACAAUGGGCGAAAGCCUGAUGCAGCGACGCCUCGUGGGGGAUGAUGGCCUUCGGGUUGUAAACUUCUUUUGCUCUGAACAAGGCGCACCAUGGGGUGUGUUGAGUGUAGGGGUUGAUUAGCGCCGGCUAACUACGUGCCAGCAGCCGCGGUAAUACGUAGGGCGCGAGCGUUGUCCGGAAUUAUUGGGCGUAAAGGGCUUGUAGGUGGCUGGUUGCGUCUGUCGUGAAAGCUCAUGGCUUAACUGUGGGUUUGCGGUGGGUACGGGCUGGCUUGAGUGCAGUAGGGGAGGCUGGAAUUCCAGUUGUAGCGGUGAAAUGCGUAGAGAUCUGGAGGAAUACCGGUGGCGAAGGCGGCCCCCUGGAAAAAGACUGACGCUCAGGUGCGAAAGCGUGGGGAGCAAACAGG
RNAcentral lists this ribosomal RNA (419 nucleotides) under Chloroflexota bacterium. RNAcentral's name for it is "Chloroflexi bacterium partial 16S ribosomal RNA". It matches the Rfam family "Bacterial small subunit ribosomal RNA", at positions 355 to 776 of the family's 1533-position model. Lineage: Bacteria; Bacillati; Chloroflexota. The record is from RNAcentral.